This 216-nucleotide ribosomal RNA is filed under the name Glomeromycotina sp. RNAcentral's name for it is "partial small subunit ribosomal RNA". The stretch from base 75 to 216 matches the Rfam family "Eukaryotic small subunit ribosomal RNA", at positions 721 to 864 of the family's 1831-position model. The record is from RNAcentral. Lineage: Eukaryota; Fungi; Glomeromycota.
GGGUCAGUAGGUUGGUCGUGCCACCGGUACGUACUGGUCUCACUGAUCCCUCCUUCCUGAAGAACCGUAAUGCCAUUAAUUUGGUGUUGCGGGGAAACAGGACUGUUACUUUGAAAAAAUUAGAGUGUUUAAAGCAAGCUAACGCUUGAAUACAUCAGCAUGGAAUAAUGAAAUAGGACGAUCGAUCCUAUUUUGUUGGUUUCUAGGAUUGACGUA